UACGGAGGAUGCAAGCGUUAUCCGGAAUGAUUGGGCGUAAAGCGUCCGCAGGUGGCUGUGUAAGUCUGCUGUUAAAGAGCAAAGCUCAACUUUGUAAAAGCAGUGGAAACUACACGGCUAGAGUGCGUUCGGGGCAGAGGGAAUUCCUGGUGUAGCGGUGAAAUGCGUAGAGAUCAGGAAGAACACCGGUGGCGAAAGCGCUCUGCUAGGCCGCAACUGACACUGAGGGACGAAAGCUAGGGGAGCGAAUGGG
RNAcentral lists this ribosomal RNA (253 nucleotides) under uncultured bacterium. RNAcentral's name for it is "partial 16S ribosomal RNA". It matches the Rfam family "Bacterial small subunit ribosomal RNA", at positions 524 to 776 of the family's 1533-position model. The record is from RNAcentral.